AAUACGUUCCCGGGCCUUGUACACACCGCCCGUCACACCACGAAAGUCGGCAACACCCGAAGCCGGUGGCCCAACCCUUUUGGGAGGGAGCCGUCGAAGGUGGGGUUGGUGAUUGGGGUG
This 120-nucleotide ribosomal RNA is filed under the name uncultured bacterium. Its description in RNAcentral is "partial 16S ribosomal RNA". It matches the Rfam family "Bacterial small subunit ribosomal RNA", at positions 1365 to 1482 of the family's 1533-position model. The record is from RNAcentral.